This is a non-coding RNA of Carica papaya (papaya), 1111 nucleotides long. Lineage: Eukaryota; Viridiplantae; Streptophyta; Magnoliopsida; Brassicales; Caricaceae. The record is from RefSeq and is a predicted model, not a curated record.
ACGGCUUCCGUGGUACCAAGUUCUCCAUUUUAAUUUCCCUCCAAAAAUUGAUGCUUAACAUCCUCUCGUCUUUAAUCAGAUAAUCGAUUUUCUUUUCUUUCUCGCUUUCUUGGCAGCCAAACAGCAAGCUGUCGCUAACCAUAACUAUGAUUCUAGUUCAGAAACCCUCCAUAUCGUGCUCAAGUUCAGGCGAAGUAUACAAGGCAGAGGUAUUUCGAUGUCCCAAUCAGCAGAAAAGACAACCAAUGUCCUUGGUGCCUCCGAGUCCGACGAAGACCUAUUCGGAUUUUCCUACAAUAUUAACAGUUGCUACUUCGAUUUUUAGGUUUUCAAUUUCGUUAUAUUCAAAGGUGCCGUGUUUGCUUCUCUGGUCUGGUAUUUUCUCACUCGUUGAUGAUGGAAGUUUGCAGAACCCCAUCUCCUCCUUCGAAGAAAUUGUGAUUCUGAUAACUAUAGCGUAUUGCACAGAGGAUGCUGCCGAGAAGUAUUGAUUCAGAAGGUCCGUAUCACCUUCUCUAUUGUUCAGGUAAGGGUGAUAAAACCAGGGUAAUACGGGAGUUGGAGAAAGGAGUAGACAUCAACCUUGCUGAUUAUGAUAAGAGAACGGCUCUUCAUUUGGCAGCCUGUGAGGGUUGCAUUGAAAUUGUUGUCCUGCUUUUAGAGAAAGGAGCUGAUGUGAACUCCACCGAUCGUUGGGGUCGUACUCCACUAUCUGAUGCCAGAAGCUUCGGCCACGAGGAGAUCUGCAAGAUUCUGGAAGCUAGAGGUGGAACGGAUCCGGUAAUCUACUUUAUUAAAACACAUGUUAUGGGUUUGUAUCUGCAUAUAUAUAUAUAUAUACACACACACACAUUCUUCUGGCUAUUGUUCUUAGUACUGGAGGAGCAUAACCAUAAUUUAUGAAAAAUUAUUAGCUGCCCCGGAGCACAUAUAAGUCAGUAAACUCCAAUUUGAUUCGUCACUUAAAUUUUGUUUUUAUGUUUUUCUUUUUUGACGAAAAAUUAAAAUACAUCAAUUGUUUAUAGAGCCUGCUAAACUCAUUGUUUGUCUCCUGAAAUAUCUUAUGAUUACAAGUAUCCAGCCAAAACUACAUUUUUGUACUAUAGUUACG